UCUUAACCUUAGCUUCCCUCUGAGAUGGAAGACUGGGAUCCUAGGAAGCUGGUGCACAGAACCCAUUUUCUCUUGAGCAUCAUGAGAAUGGUUAACCUGGAUCCCUAGCUUAAAGAUAACCAGAGUCGCCACAGCCUCUGCCAGGACCUGGGUUCCAGCCUCUGGUUUGCCAUGAAGAAUCUGCGGGUAACAUCCCUGAGCUUUCCAAAACUGGCCUCUCCCUACGUGAGCUCGUAUGUUCUGCUGCAGCCCUCUAUGCACCUCUGAGGCCGUCCUCCUGUUCAUCACUGUCUCAAUGGUGCUGGUUCUUGUCUUUUCUGGCCUAAAUGUACCUCAAGGUGAAAGAACAGAGAGGCAAGGCUGGAGGAUUUCUGUGGGCCUGGAGUUCCUCAACCUUCCUGGGGACUCAUAGAUACGGUGCUUUUACAAAUCUGUAAUACACUCCAGUGCAUCAUUAUAAAACUACAUCUCUUAUCGUGGGUCAGUCAAAUCUCUGAAGGGACACUUGUUCCUUCUAAGUAAGCUCCAUCUGGCAUUGGAAUUCAGCUUCUCAGAAGACACUGAAGAAAAUGUCAGCAUGAUUUAAUACCUCAGCAAAAGAUCCAAGGGAGCAACAUUGAGAACAAUUACAUGGAUUCGGACCUCACCACAUGGAGUCUUCCAUGAUCUGUGCUCAUUCCCCAUGAGUCACUUGGACUCCUCAGUUUGCAUUGCUGUCAUGAGACAACCUCAUGCCCCCUGAGUUUAACAUGGCUAGCCUGAACUAUGUGAUAGUCUCUGGGUCUAGAAGAAACAAGGACAUGUUCAUGCUGGCUAUGCCCACUGCUUGAGAAGCUCUGUGGUGGUUUGAAUAGGUUUGACCUCCACAGAUUCAUGUGUUUCAAUGUGUGGCUGUGGGGAGUGGCACUAUUAGGAGGUAUGGCCUUGUUGGAGUAGGUAUGGCUUUGUUUGAGGAAGUGUGUCACUGUGUAGAUGGGCUUUGAGGUCUCCUAUUCUCAAGCUCUGCCCGGUGUGGAAUCAGAAACUCUGCCUGGCUGCCUUCAGAAGACAGUCCCCUUCUGCUGCCUGCAGAUCAAGAUAGCUCCUCCAGCACCAUGUCUGCCUGCAUGCUCCAUGCUUCCCACCAUGAUGAAAAUGGAUUAAACCUCUGGCACUGUAAGCCAGCCCCAAUUAAAUGUUUGCCUUUAUAAGAGUUGCCUUGGUCAUGGUGUCUCC
RNAcentral lists this long non-coding RNA (1215 nucleotides) under Mus spicilegus (steppe mouse). RNAcentral's name for it is "lncRNA (ENSMSIG00000015827.1)". The record is from RNAcentral. Lineage: Eukaryota; Metazoa; Chordata; Mammalia; Rodentia; Muridae.